UGCCAGCCGCCGCGGUAAUACGGAGGGUGCAAGCGUUAUCCGGAUUUAUUGGGUUUAAAGGGUGCGCAGGCGGAACUUUAAGUCAGUGGUGAAAUCUUGCCGCUUAACGGUAAAAUUGCCAUUGAAACUGAAGUUCUUGAAUGUAGUUGAGGUAGGCGGAAUUUAUGGUGUAGCGGUGAAAUGCAUAGAUACCAUAAAGAACACCGAUAGCGAAGGCAGCUUACUAGGCUGAGACUGACGCUGAGGCACGAAAGCGCGGGGAGCGAACAGGAUUAGAUA
This 279-nucleotide ribosomal RNA is filed under the name uncultured bacterium. Its description in RNAcentral is "partial 16S ribosomal RNA". It matches the Rfam family "Bacterial small subunit ribosomal RNA", at positions 506 to 784 of the family's 1533-position model. The record is from RNAcentral.